This 1214-nucleotide ribosomal RNA is filed under the name metagenome. RNAcentral's name for it is "SSU rRNA". It matches the Rfam family "Eukaryotic small subunit ribosomal RNA", at positions 558 to 1801 of the family's 1831-position model. The record is from RNAcentral.
AGUCUGGUGCCAGCAGCCGCGGUAAUUCCAGCUCCAAUAGCGUAUAUUAAAGUUGUUGCGGUUAAAAAGCUCGUAGUUGGAUCUGCGGUCGUCGACACUGGUUCUCUUCUUGAGAUACUAGCUGUCGCGACCUACCUUGUUAGAUGUCUCUUGGUGCUCUUCACUGAGUGUCUUGAGCGUCUAGCUCGUUUACUUUGAAAAAAAUUAGAGUGCUUAACGCAGGCAUUAGCCUGAAUAGUGGUGCAUGGAAUAAUGGAAUAGGACCUCGGUUCUAUUUUGUUGGUUUUCGGAGCAUGAGGUAAUGAUUAAGAGGGACAGACGGGGGCAUUCGUACUGCCACGUUAGAGGUGAAAUUCUUGGAUCGUAGCAUGAUGAACAACUGCGAAAGCAUUUGCCAAGAAUGUUUUCAUUAAUCAAGAACGAUAGUUAGAGGUUCGAAGGCGAUCAGAUACCGCCCUAGUUCUAACCGUAAACGAUGCCACUUGACCCUGAUGACGUUGCAUUCUGCACGUUGUCGGAGUCGCCCGGAAACGAUUAAAGUUUUCGGUUCCGGGGGAAGUAUGGUUGCAAAUCCGAAACUUAAAGGAAUUGACGGAAGGGCACCACCAGGAGUGGAGCCUGCGGCUUAAUUUGACCCAACACGGGAAAACUCACCCGGCCCGGACACUGUAAGGAUUGACAGAUUGAAAGCUCUUUCACGAUUCUGUGAGUGGUGGUGCAUGGCCGUUCUUAGUUGGUGGAGCGAUUUGUCUGGUUAAUUCCGAUAACGAACGAGACUCUAGCCUACUAAAUAGUACAGAGAUCAUCAUGUCUCUGAUACUUCUUAGAGGGACUGACGGCGUUUAGCCGUACGAGAUUGAGCAAUAACAGGUCUGUGAUGCCCUUAGAUGUCCGGGGCUGCACGCGCGCUACACUGUAAACAUCAGUGAGCUUCAAAACCUUUUCCGAAAGGAAUGGGUAACCCCAUGAAACGUUUACGUGAUUGGGAUUGAGAUUUGCAAUUAUCUCUCAUGAACGAGGAAUUCCUAGUAUGUACGAGUCAACAGCUCGUGCAGAUUACGUCCCUGCCCUUUGUACACACCGCCCGUCGCUACUACCGAUUGGGAAAAUUUCAGAAUGCUUAGGACCGUGGCUUGUUUGGCCUUUGGCCUUACUCGUUGUGGAAAUAAGUAUAAUGAUAUUUUCCUAGAGGAAGUAAAAGUCGUAACAAGGUU